RNAcentral lists this ribosomal RNA (442 nucleotides) under uncultured bacterium. Its description in RNAcentral is "partial 16S ribosomal RNA". It matches the Rfam family "Bacterial small subunit ribosomal RNA", at positions 338 to 795 of the family's 1533-position model. The record is from RNAcentral.
CCUACGGGAGGCAGCAGUGGGGAAUAUUGGGCAAUGGGCGCAAGCCUGACCCAGCAACGCCGCGUGAAGGAAGACGGCUCUCGGGUUGUAAACUUCUUUUGUCAGGGACGAGUAGAAGACGGUACCUGACGAAUAAGCCACGGCUAACUACGUGCCAGCAGCCGCGGUAAUACGGAGGGGGCAAGCGUUGUGCGGAUUUACUGGGGGUAAAGGGCGUGUAUCAGGGUGAACAAGUCAGAUGUGAAAUCCUGCGGCGUAACCGAGGAACUGCAUUUGACACUGUUUGUCUUGAGUACUGGAGAGGCAGAUGGAAUUCCUAGUGUAGCGGUGAAAUGCGUAGAUAUUAGGAAGAACACCAGUGGCGAAGGCGGUCUGCUGGACAGCAACUGACGGUGAGGCACGAAAGCGUGGGGAGCAAACAGGAUUAGAUACCCCUGUAGUC